GGUGGCUCAGUGGUAGAGUGCUUGUCUUGCACGCAUGAGGCCCUGGGUUCGAUCUUCAGCACCA
This 64-nucleotide transfer RNA is filed under the name Dipodomys ordii (Ord's kangaroo rat). It matches the Rfam family "tRNA". Rfam says of the family: Transfer RNA (tRNA) molecules are approximately 80 nucleotides in length. Their secondary structure includes four short double-helical elements and three loops (D, anti-codon, and T loops). Further hydrogen bonds mediate the characteristic L-shaped molecular structure. tRNAs have two regions of fundamental functional importance: the anti-codon, which is responsible for specific mRNA codon recognition, and the 3' end, to which the tRNAs corresponding amino acid is attached (by aminoacyl-tRNA synthetases). tRNAs cope with the degeneracy of the genetic code in two manners: having more than one tRNA (with a specific anti-codon) for a particular amino acid; and 'wobble' base-pairing, i.e. permitting non-standard base-pairing at the 3rd anti-codon position. The record is from Rfam by way of RNAcentral. Lineage: Eukaryota; Metazoa; Chordata; Mammalia; Rodentia; Heteromyidae.